RNAcentral lists this ribosomal RNA (253 nucleotides) under uncultured bacterium. Its description in RNAcentral is "partial 16S ribosomal RNA". It matches the Rfam family "Bacterial small subunit ribosomal RNA", at positions 524 to 776 of the family's 1533-position model. The record is from RNAcentral.
UACGAAGGGUGCAAGCGUUACUCGGAAUUACUGGGCGUAAAGCGUGCGCAGGCGGCGCGUUAAGACAGGUGUGAAAGCCCCGAGCUUAACUUGGGAAUUGCGCUUGUGACUGGCGUGCUGGAGUGUGGCGGAGGGAGGUGGAAUUCCACGUGUAGCAGUGAAAUGCGUAGAGAUGUGGAGGAACACCGAUGGCGAAGGCAGCCUCCUGGGCCAGCACUGACGCUCAUGCACGAAAGCGUGGGGAGCAAACAGG